GAUGAACGCUGGCGGCGUGCUUAACACAUGCAAGUCGAACGAUGAAGCCCAGCUUGCUGGGUGGAUUAGUGGCGAACGGGUGAGUAACACGUGAGUAACCUGCCCUUAACUCUGGGAUAAGCCUGGGAAACUGGGUCUAAUACCGGAUAGGAGCGUCCACCGCAUGGUGGGUGUUGGAAAGAUUUAUCGGUUUUGGAUGGACUCGCGGCCUAUCAGCUUGUUGGUGAGGUAAUGGCUCACCAAGGCGACGACGGGUAGCCGGCCUGAGAGGGUGACCGGCCACACUGGUACUGUGACACGGCCCAGACUCCUACGGGAGGCAGCAGUGGGGAAUAUUGCACAAUGGGCGCAAGCCUGAUGCAGCGACGCCGCGUGAGGGAUGACGGCCUUCGGGUUGUAAACCUCUUUCAGUAGGGAAGAAGCGAAAGUGACGGUACCUGCAGAAGAAGCACCGGCUAACUACGUG
RNAcentral lists this ribosomal RNA (466 nucleotides) under uncultured bacterium. Its description in RNAcentral is "partial 16S ribosomal RNA". It matches the Rfam family "Bacterial small subunit ribosomal RNA", at positions 28 to 507 of the family's 1533-position model. The record is from RNAcentral.